GGGGGAUAUUGCGCAAUGGGGGCAACCCUGACGCAGCAACGCCGCGUGAAGGAUGAAGGUUUUCGGAUUGUAAACUUCUUUUAUUAAGGACGAAAAAUGACGGUACUUAAUGAAUAAGCUCCGGCUAACUACGUGCCAGCAGCCGCGGUAAUACGUAGGGAGCAAGCGUUGUCCGGAUUUACUGGGUGUAAAGGGUGCGUAGGCGGCUUUGCAAGUCAGAUGUGAAAUCUAUGGGCUCAACCCAUAAACUGCAUUUGAAACUGUAGAGCUUGAGUGAAGUAGAGGCAGGCGGAAUUCCCCGUGUAGCGGUGAAAUGCGUAGAGAUGGGGAGGAACACCAGUGGCGAAGGCGGCCUGCUGGGCUUUAACUGACGCUGAGGCACGAAAGCGUGGGUAGCAAACAGGAUUAGAUACCCUGGUAGUCCACGCUGUAAACGAUGAUUACUAGGUGUGGGGGGUCUGACCCCUUCCGUGCCGGAGUUAACACAAUAAGUAAUCCACCUGGGGAGUACGGCCGCAAGGUUGAAACUCAAAGGAAUUGACGGGGGCCCGCACAAGCAGUGGAGUAUGUGGUUUAAUUCGAAGCAACGCGAAGAACCUUACCAGGUCUUGACAUCCAACUAACGAAGUAGAGAUACAUUAGGUGCCCUUCGGGGAAAGUUGAGACAGGUGGUGCAUGGUUGUCGUCAGCUCGUGUCGUGAGAUGUUGGGUUAAGUCCCGCAACGAGCGCAACCCUUGCUAUUAGUUGCUACGCAAGAGCACUCUAAUAGGACUGCCGUUGACAAAACGGAGGAAGGUGGGGACGACGUCAAAUCAUCAUGCCCCUUAUGACCUGGGCUACACACGUACUACAAUGGAUGUUAACAGAGGGAAGCAAGACAGCGAUGUGGAGCAAACCCCUAAAAACAUUCUCAGUUCAGAUUGCAGGCUGCAACCCGCCUGCAUGAAGAUGGAAUUGCUAGUAAUCGCGGAUCAGCAUGCCGCGGUGAAUACGUUCCCG
This 1000-nucleotide ribosomal RNA is filed under the name uncultured bacterium. Its description in RNAcentral is "bacterial SSU rRNA". It matches the Rfam family "Bacterial small subunit ribosomal RNA", at positions 356 to 1376 of the family's 1533-position model. RNAcentral also lists the same sequence under 1 other name. The record is from RNAcentral.